UGAGGCAUAGCGCAGUUUGGUAGCGCGCUUGGUUAGGGACCAAGAGGUCGUGGGUUCAAGUCCCGUUGCCUCAACCA
This 77-nucleotide transfer RNA is filed under the name Bacillota bacterium. Its description in RNAcentral is "tRNA-Pro". It matches the Rfam family "tRNA". Rfam says of the family: Transfer RNA (tRNA) molecules are approximately 80 nucleotides in length. Their secondary structure includes four short double-helical elements and three loops (D, anti-codon, and T loops). Further hydrogen bonds mediate the characteristic L-shaped molecular structure. tRNAs have two regions of fundamental functional importance: the anti-codon, which is responsible for specific mRNA codon recognition, and the 3' end, to which the tRNAs corresponding amino acid is attached (by aminoacyl-tRNA synthetases). tRNAs cope with the degeneracy of the genetic code in two manners: having more than one tRNA (with a specific anti-codon) for a particular amino acid; and 'wobble' base-pairing, i.e. permitting non-standard base-pairing at the 3rd anti-codon position. The record is from RNAcentral. RNAcentral also lists the same sequence under 6 other names. Lineage: Bacteria; Bacillati; Bacillota.